RNAcentral lists this ribosomal RNA (471 nucleotides) under uncultured bacterium. Its description in RNAcentral is "bacterial SSU rRNA". It matches the Rfam family "Bacterial small subunit ribosomal RNA", at positions 335 to 799 of the family's 1533-position model. The record is from RNAcentral.
ACUCCUACGGAGGCAGCAGUGAGGAAUAUUGGACAAUGGCGGAGCUGAUCCAGCCAUGCCGCGUGCAGGAAGACUGCCCUAUGGGUUGUAAACUGCUUUUGUACAGGAAGAAACACUCCCUCGUGAGGAGCUUGGACUGGUGACUGUAAGAAUAAGGAUCGGCUAACUCCGUGCCAGCAGCCGCGGUAAUACGGAGGAUCCAAGCGUUAUCCGGAAUCAUUGGGGUUUAAAAGGGUCCGUACGGUGGAUGAGUUAAUAUCAGAGGUGAAAUCCUGCAGCUCAACUGUAGAAUUGCCUUUGAUACUGGUUGUCUUGAAUUAUUGUGAAGUAGUUAGAAUAUGUGGUGUAGCGGUGAAAAUGCAUAGAUAUCACAUAGAAUACCGAUUGCGAAGGCAGAUUACUAACAAUACAUUGACACUGAUGGACGAAAGCGUGGGGAGCGAACAGGAUUAGAUACCAUGGCAGGCUCUG